This 393-nucleotide ribosomal RNA is filed under the name uncultured bacterium. Its description in RNAcentral is "partial 16S ribosomal RNA". It matches the Rfam family "Bacterial small subunit ribosomal RNA", at positions 523 to 918 of the family's 1533-position model. The record is from RNAcentral.
AUACGGAGGAUCCGAGCGUUAUCCGGAUUUAUUGGGUUUAAAGGGUGCGUAGGCGGCCUUUUAAGUCAGCGGUGAAAGUCUGUGGCUCAACCAUAGAAUUGCCGUUGAAACUGGGAGGCUUGAGUAUGUUUGAGGCAGGCGGAAUGCGUGGGGUAGCGGGGAAAUGCUUAGAUAUCAAGCAUAACCCCGAUUGCGAAGGCAGCCUGCCAAGCCAUGACUGACGCUGAUGCACGAAAGCGUGGGGAUCAAACAGGAUUAGAUACCCUGGUAGUCCACGCAGUAAACGAUGAUCACUAGCUGUUUGCGAUACAGUGUAAGCGGCACAGCGAAAGCGUUAAGUGAUCCACCUGGGGAGUACGCCGGCAACGGUGAAACUCAAAUGAAUUGACGGGG